This 301-nucleotide ribosomal RNA is filed under the name uncultured bacterium. RNAcentral describes it as "partial 16S ribosomal RNA". It matches the Rfam family "Bacterial small subunit ribosomal RNA", at positions 509 to 807 of the family's 1533-position model. The record is from RNAcentral.
CAGCAGCCGCGGUAAUACGAAGGGGGCUAGCGUUGUUCGGAAUUACUGGGCGUAAAGCGCACGUAGGCGGAUAUUUAAGUCAGGGGUGAAAUCCCAGAGCUCAACUCUGGAACUGCCUUUGAUACUGGGUAUCUUGAGUAUGGAAGAGGUGAGUGGAAUUCCGAGUGUAGAGGUGAAAUUCGUAGAUAUUCGGAGGAACACCAGUGGCGAAGGCGGCUCACUGGACCAUAACUGACGCUGAUGCACGAAAGCUAGGGGAGCAAACAGGAUUAGAUACCCCGGUAGUCCCUGUCUCUUAUAC